AGAGUUUGAUCAUGGCUCAGGAUGAACGCUAGCGGCAGGCUUAAUACAUGCAAGUCGAACGGGAUUCGAGGUAGCAAUACUUUGAUGAGAGUGGCGCACGGGUGCGUAACGCGUAUGCAACCUACCUUUAACUGGGAGAUAGCCCCGAGAAAUCGGGAUUAAUACCCCAUAACAUUACGAAUUGGCAUCAAUUUGUGAUUAAAGCUCCGGCGGUUAGAGAUGGGCAUGCGUGACAUUAGCUGGUUGGUGAGGUAACGGCUCACCAAGGCAACGAUGUCUAGGGGUCCUGAGAGGGUUAUCCCCCACACUGGUACUGAGACACGGACCAGACUCCUACGGGAGGCAGCAGUAAGGAAUAUUGGUCAAUGGGCGCAAGCCUGAACCAGCCAUGCCGCGUGCAGGAAGACGGCCCUAUGGGUUGUAAACUGCUUUUAUCAGGGAAUAAACCCCCGCUCGUGAGCGGGGCUGAAGGUACCUGAGGAAUAAGCAUCGGCUAACUCCGUGCCAGCAGCCGCGGUAAUACGGAGGAUGCAAGCGUUAUCCGGAUUCAUUGGGUUUAAAGGGUGCGCAGGCGGAUUGGUAAGUCAGGGGUGAAAUCCCACAGCUCAACUGUGGAACUGCCUUUGAUACUGUCAGUCUAGAGUAUAGUUGAAGUUGGCGGAAUGUGUCAUGUAGCGGUGAAAUACUUAGAUAUGACACAGAACACCGAUCGCGAAGGCAGCUAGCUAAGCUAUAACUGACGCUCAUGCACGAAAGCGUGGGGAUCAAACAGGAUUAGAUACCCUGGUAGUCCACGCUGUAAACGAUGAUUACUCGAUGUUGGCGAUACACAGUCAGCGUCUGAGCGAAAGCAAUAAGUAAUCCACCUGGGGAGUACGAUCGCAAGAUUGAAACUCAAAUGAAUUGACGG
This 910-nucleotide ribosomal RNA is filed under the name uncultured Bacteroidota bacterium. Its description in RNAcentral is "bacterial SSU rRNA". It matches the Rfam family "Bacterial small subunit ribosomal RNA", at positions 8 to 916 of the family's 1533-position model. The record is from RNAcentral. Lineage: Bacteria; Pseudomonadati; Bacteroidota.